AGGCGUAUAGCUCAGUUGGUAGAGCAGCGGUCUCCAAAACCGCAGGUCGUGGGUUCAAAUCCUACUGCGCCUG
This 73-nucleotide transfer RNA is filed under the name Spirochaetaceae bacterium. RNAcentral's name for it is "tRNA-Trp". It matches the Rfam family "tRNA". From Rfam's summary of the family: Transfer RNA (tRNA) molecules are approximately 80 nucleotides in length. Their secondary structure includes four short double-helical elements and three loops (D, anti-codon, and T loops). Lineage: Bacteria; Pseudomonadati; Spirochaetota; Spirochaetia; Spirochaetales; Spirochaetaceae. The record is from RNAcentral.